ACUCCUACGGGAGGCAGCAGUAGGGAAUCUUCCACAAUGGGCGCAAGCCUGAUGGAGCAACACCGCGUGAGUGAAGAAGGGUUUCGGCUCGUAAAGCUCUGUUGUUAAAGAAGAACACGUAUGAGAGUAACUGUUCAUACGUUGACGGUAUUUAACCAGAAAGUCACGGCUAACUACGUGCCAGCAGCCACGGUAAUACGUAGGUGGCAAGCGUUAUCCGGAUUUAUUGGACGUAAAGAGAGUGCAGGCGGUUUUCUAAGUCUGAUGUGAAAGCCUUCGGCUUAACCGGAGAAGUGCAUCGGAAACUGGAUAACUUGAGUGCAGAAGAGGGUAGUGGAACUCCAUGUGUAGCGGUGGAAUGCGUAGAUAUAUGGAAGAACACCAGUGGCGAAGGCGGCUACCUGGUCUGCAACUGACGCUGAGACUCGAAAGCAUGGGUAGCGAACAGGAUUAGAUACCCCUGGUAGGAUAGCG
This 474-nucleotide ribosomal RNA is filed under the name uncultured bacterium. RNAcentral's name for it is "bacterial SSU rRNA". It matches the Rfam family "Bacterial small subunit ribosomal RNA", at positions 335 to 801 of the family's 1533-position model. The record is from RNAcentral.